RNAcentral lists this unclassified non-coding RNA (332 nucleotides) under soil metagenome. Its description in RNAcentral is "partial contains 5.8S ribosomal RNA, internal transcribed spacer 2, and large subunit ribosomal RNA". The stretch from base 1 to 120 matches the Rfam family "5.8S ribosomal RNA", at positions 35 to 154 of the family's 154-position model. The record is from RNAcentral.
GAUGAAGAACGUAGCGAAAUGCGAUAAGUAGUGUGAAUUGCAGAAUUCAGUGAAUCAUCGAAUCUUUGAACGCACAUUGCGCCCUUUGGUAUUACUUAGGGCAUGCCUGUUCGAGCGUCAUUUAAACCUUCAAGCUAAGCUUGGUGUUGGGUGACUGUCCGCUUCACUGCGGACUCGCCUCAAAAUUAUUGGCGGCCGGUACAUUGGCUUCGAGCGCAGCAGAAACGCGAACUCGGGCCCGUCGUAUUGGCUCCCAGAAGCUAUCUUCACAAUUUUGACCUCGGAUCAGGUAGGGAUACCCGCUGAACUUAAGCAUAUCAAUAAGCGGAGGA